ACGCACGCUGGCGGCGUGCUUAACACAUGCCAGUCGAACGGAAAGGCCCUGCUUGCAGGGUACUCGAGUGGCGAACGGGUGAGUAACACGUGGGUGAUCUGCCCUGCACUUCGGGAUAAGCCUGGGAAACUGGGUCUAAUACCGGAUAGGAGCCAUUUUUAGUGUGAUGGUUGGAAAGUUUUUUCGGUGUAGGAUGAGCUCGCGGCCUAUCAGCUUGUUGGUGGGGUAAUGGCCUACCAAGGCGGCGACGGGUAGCCGGCCUGAGAGGGUGGACGGCCACAUUGGGACUGAGAUACGGCCCAGACUCCUACGGGAGGCAGCAGUGGGGAAUAUUGCACAAUGGGCGCAAGCCUGAUGCAGCGACGCCGCGUGGGGGAUGACGGCCUUCGGGUUGUAAACUCCUUUCGCUAGGGACGAAGCUUUUUGUGACGGUACCUAGAGAAGAAGCACCGGCUAACUACGUG
RNAcentral lists this ribosomal RNA (464 nucleotides) under uncultured bacterium. Its description in RNAcentral is "partial 16S ribosomal RNA". It matches the Rfam family "Bacterial small subunit ribosomal RNA", at positions 29 to 507 of the family's 1533-position model. The record is from RNAcentral.